Molecule: long non-coding RNA, 3045 nt
Organism: Mugil cephalus (flathead mullet)
Lineage: Eukaryota; Metazoa; Chordata; Actinopteri; Mugiliformes; Mugilidae
Exons: 2
Source: RefSeq, a predicted model, not a curated record
AGGUCAUCAAUUAUGUUGGAGUCUGCUGUGAGCCGUAAUCAAGCCGCAGAUCCGCCUCAGCUGUUGCAGGAAGACCCGGCCCCUCUCCGCCGCUACAUCACCGUUUCUAUGGAAGCCGGAGAACCAAUGGACAUUGUCACACCUGCUGUGAGAGUCAGGAAGGACAGAAGGAGGGCGGAGACGCAGCUUCUUCUGCUGGAAAUCAAUCAACCGACCCUUGUAUACUGAGCUGCUGGUACAUGCAACAAACAUACUGUAAUCUGGCCCCUGGCUUCUGGUUUGCUUUAUUGGUGGAUUGUGUGUUUAACUGUUAAGAUGCUGUCAACUUGUGAAUUUACAUUUUAAGCGAUAGAUUUCAAUGGAGCUGCAGAGGAGGAAUGACAAACAAAAUAACACUUGUAAUGUUUUUUUUUCUGUGUGACUCAACAGCAGCCUCUGUAGAUGCCAUCCUCCAUUAGAUUUUUGUUGGAAUUUUCUUUUCUUCUUUUUUUUUAAUAGAGGACAUGCUCAAAAUGACUGUACACCUGUGUAAUCAGUUGAGUCACUGUAACCAGAGACUUGUUUUCCACUUCAAGUACUUGGUGUGUCAACACACUUAGGUUUCCAGCUGAUUAUCUCCAAGCUGAAAUUAUGUUUCUAUUUAAACUUCUAUAAUAGGUGCAAGUGCUUACCUAUCCAGAAAACACUCUUCACCAGUGUAGCACUGCAUUUGUUUUUGCUCGGUUUGGGUCUCCACCAGCUCCUGAAGAUGCUUCGGCAGUGUGUCUCUAACUUUGUGGGUCAUCAUCUCCGUCUGCUGUUGCGUCGAGAGUCUUUUGACAGUUAUCGUUUGCUGAAAAUUAAGAAAUGUGCUUAAUGUGAGCAAUGAGGCCAAACUGUAGCCGUAAAACUGAAACAACAAGCUAAAAGAAGACAAAAAGUCACUUCUUGUCAUCAAUACACUCAACUUCUCACACAUUAAUACUCACUGCUGACAUGGAAACGUUUAUUUAUGAACCUAUAAAGUAAAUGUAUGUGUAAUAUUUACUUAUAUGAGUGUGUGAAUGAUUACACAACACGGUGACGAUUACGUUAUGGGUUGAUGUUGAAUUUUUUUUCGCAAUGGCACUUCUCUGUCACAAGCCUUUCAGUUUGCUGAUAAGAUGGGAGGGGACUGAGCCUCAGACACUGCUGCUUGAGUAAAAUCUCUUGUAUUAACACACAAUUCUGGCUUUAAAUCUGCUCUCAACGCAUCUACGAGGCCUUCUGAAUCUGGCAUCCAUCACCAUUCAAGUGCUCUCUUAAAAAAUUAAUCAACCGAUGACCCUGGGAACUAGGAAGUGCAGGAAGCUAGGAACAGAGCUGGCCUCUCCUGAAUCAUAUUGAUGGAAAUAUUGACUCCGGGACCAGAAGGUCACCCCUCUGUGAUCAUGGUUGAGGUACCUUUAGCGAGCACCUUAAAACCCACCAAACUGCUCUCUGGACACCUUGCAUGGCCUCCUACUGCUCCAACUGUGCUCACAUGUGAACAAAUUCCUCGUACGCGUAUAAAGCUGAUUUGAUAAAGAUGUGAAACAAGAACAUCUUUCUUUAUGCCCUUUUGGGGUUUGUUGUUCAAUUUUGUCACUUCUGUUUGUGUUUCUCAGAAAUGAUAAGUCGGUCUGAGUGAUCCUCGUUUUGUCAGUUCAACAUGCUGAACUGACUGAACAACACUGAAAGGCCAGUAGUUGGCACUACUACCGACCAAGUGGUGCCAACACAGCAGGACUGGGUAGGGUCACAGUCGCUCGCUGACGGCUGAACAUUGGAAAACGGUCCAGCUAAUAGUAGCUCUUCCAAUGUCCCAACAGACACAGAACGUACGUGCCAGCCGGCCACUGGCUCUAGUCUAUUCCACGUGUUCAAGUGCAAAAUUGUGGCGCAGGUGACGUGAAGUGAUGUCACAGUCGGCCUUUGUUACUGGUAAUUCUUUGAUAUGGGAUUUGGUGCAUCUGUACCUGAAGGAUUAACCUGUUCUAGAUUUUCUGCUUUAAUCAGAUGUUUUCUUGUUGGUAAAGCUCACCAAUAAGAUGUGCUUUUUAUGUCAUUCCAAUCUGUGAUUGCUGCUACGACAUCUCAAAAUGUUUGUAGCGUGGUGUCGUAGGCUUCUUGUACGUCCUGUGGGUCUGUACUGGAUGUUUUGUGUUUUUAUUUUCGUACUACAGAUGGAAAUUAGCUUUCUGUUAAAUCUGGUGCACACAUCUAUUCAUGUCUUUGACACUGUUUAAUGUACGUGCACAUUGUCCGUGAACCUAAUAAUAAUAAUAGUCUGCUGUGAAACAGGUUACAAACCCAAACACAUAUCCAAAAGACGGAGUAGCUAACUGAAGAAGUUACUCGGGUGAGUGGCGAAACACUUUCUCAGAACUCUACAAAUCCAGUUGCCUUUUUUAAAGCCUUUUGGAUUACCGUGACCUGGAGGGCUGAGAACCUUCACAGACACACAAACACAUAAGUUUCUGUAUCAGUAUUUGUUUUCGCUUUUGGACUCAGAUACUAAAUAAACCGCAAUGAUCCAGAAAUUAAUCAGAGUCACAACCUCUGCACAGCAGCUGGAACGAACCGCUCUCUGUUUCCAUCACCUCCAGGCCCAGAUGUACAGCACUGGCCGAGGUGAGAGGAACAGUUCACAGCUUUCUUGCAGAUUCCUUUGGAUGAGGUUUCUCACUGAUGCCAGUGAGGUAAACCAUCAGUGUCUGAGCGUUAAUUAUCACCAAGAUAGAAACGGUCUCAGCCUCACCUGAACAAAUGUAUAUUGUAUCUGUCAUUUUUUUUUGAUUCAACACAGUAACCUCAGUUCAUCGCCUCCACGGCUGCUGGAUCUCACAACUGUUAUGUUUUUUUUGCAAUGACAACAAACUCAGAGCCAGCAGCGCCUGUGUUUAUUGUUUCAUACAAAGCAGAAAACAAAACUGUGAGCUAAAAAAUGUUCCGACAGAUUUGCCAGAUUCCUCCAGACUACUGUGAGAUUGUGUGUUACAUAUUGUUUACGCCUCAGAAAUAAAAACAUUUUAUAUUUUUCUGGCA